AAACGAGUAUUCCCUGAGAACCGUGGAAGACGACCACGUUGAUAGGCCGGGUGUGGAAGAGCGGCAACGCUUGAAGCUUACCGGUACUAAUAGUUCGAUCGGCUUGAUCGUUCUCAUU
This 118-nucleotide ribosomal RNA is filed under the name Mesorhizobium sp. RNAcentral describes it as "partial 23S ribosomal RNA". It matches the Rfam family "Bacterial large subunit ribosomal RNA", at positions 2802 to 2925 of the family's 2925-position model. Lineage: Bacteria; Pseudomonadati; Pseudomonadota; Alphaproteobacteria; Hyphomicrobiales; Phyllobacteriaceae. The record is from RNAcentral.